CAGAGCACCACGUGUUUUGAAAUAUACAAAUAGUGGGAAAUGAAAUCUUUGUUCUGGAUGCAGUUAUAAUUUGGAAAGUGAGGAAAUAAAUUAUAACAAGGGGAAAAAACAGAAUACUACUAAAGUCAUGCUGUGUGACUUCUGAAGCUAGCUCCUAAGAAGUCCUUGCAGCUUCUGCCUGCGACUCUUAGAACACUUGCUUUGAAGGACUCCAGAAGCUGUGUUGAAAGUCUGAGCACUCUGAAACCACCAUGCUGUGAGGAAGCCCAAGCUAACCACAUGGGCAAAAAAGAUGCCCUCUGACUGCCACCAUUUGAGACACUCUAAUUUAGAACUGCCUCAUUGAGCCCAUGAGGCCCUGUGAAUGAUAAUAAUAAAUUGUUUUUAACCACUAUGUUUUUGGAUUUGUAAUAAGUUUAUAGAUAACAAGAAAAAGUUAUAUUAGCAUGGUAAUAAAAUUAUGGAUAUGUGUAA
This 474-nucleotide long non-coding RNA is filed under the name Pongo abelii (Sumatran orangutan). RNAcentral's name for it is "lincRNA". The record is from RNAcentral. Lineage: Eukaryota; Metazoa; Chordata; Mammalia; Primates; Hominidae.